AACGAACGCUGGCGGCAGGCCUAACACAUGCAAGUCGAGCGCGCCCUUCGGGGUGAGCGGCGGACGGGUGAGUAACGCGUGGGAACGUGCCCUUUGCUACGGAAUAGUCUCGGGAAACUGGGGGUAAUACCGUAUGAGCCCUUCGGGGGAAAGAUUUAUCGGCAAAGGAUCGGCCCGCGUUGGAUUAGGUAGUUGGUGGGGUAAUGGCUCACCAAGCCGACGAUCCAUAGCUGGUUUGAGAGGAUGAUCAGCCACACUGGGACUGAGACACGGCCCAGACUCCUACGGGAGGCAGCAGUGGGGAAUCUUAGACAAUGGGCGCAAGCCUGAUCUAGCCAUGCCGCGUGAGCGAUGAAGGCCUUAGGGUUGUAAAGCUCUUUCGUGGGGGAAGGAUAAUGACUGUACCCCAACGAAGAAGCCCCGGCUAACUCCGUGCCAGCAGCCGCGGUAAAGUACAGUGU
RNAcentral lists this ribosomal RNA (461 nucleotides) under uncultured bacterium. Its description in RNAcentral is "bacterial SSU rRNA". It matches the Rfam family "Bacterial small subunit ribosomal RNA", at positions 29 to 533 of the family's 1533-position model. The record is from RNAcentral.